AUGAGCUUCGCUCAAGAGCAUAGCUCAUACCAAAACAAUUACUCACAUGGGUGGCCUGAUAACCCAAUUAUGUCAUAUAGGAGCAACAACCCUGAGAUCUCAUCGUUUGCCUCUAGUUAUCCAAUGCAGGGAUUUAGGUACAAUGAGGAGAGCCACAACUAUGCUCCACAACAGUCUUAUUCAGCUCCUAUUCAUAUACCUCAGCACCAGGAGAUGUGUCCAAUGGAGUUAAAUGGUCCUCCAUUUGGUCAACCAAUAACUUCAGCACCUAAUGAGUCGGUAGAGCAAUCUCAUGUGCAAGUGCCCACACAAGAUGAGUUUGAUGGCAUAGACAAGCUCACACUUUUUAGUCUCGAGUUCACUUGGAGUGUUGAGGAUGAUCCUAUUAGGAAGGUUAUACUAGAGGAAAUGAAGAAGAUCAAGAGUGGAAAAGAGCUAGUGGAAGAAGUAAGGAAGAUUGAGAAGAACAUCAACGCUGGCAGCACUAUUUCUUCACAGCUAGAGAUGAGUAUUUCUGGGAUAUCCUUUGAUACAUGUGAGGUUCCAACACCGUCACAUACAGCUGAGCAAGAUAGCAAGAGUUCAGAGGAAGAGAGACCUCAGAUUUAA
RNAcentral lists this ribosomal RNA (609 nucleotides) under Triticum aestivum (bread wheat). RNAcentral's name for it is "partial small subunit ribosomal RNA". The record is from RNAcentral. Lineage: Eukaryota; Viridiplantae; Streptophyta; Magnoliopsida; Poales; Poaceae.